Myodes glareolus (Bank vole) is the source of this 455-nucleotide non-coding RNA. The record is from RefSeq and is a predicted model, not a curated record. NCBI's taxonomy places the organism in Eukaryota, Metazoa, Chordata, Mammalia, Rodentia, Cricetidae.
UCCAGUCAUGACUAUGAACUCACAGAGACUGUGACAGCAUGCAUAGGAGCUGUACAAAACCCCAGCACAGAGAAGGGGAAGUGGGCACAAAGCCCACCUCUAGCCCAGAAGCUAUGUGUGUGAUCGUUAUGGUGGCCUCCCAUGGAGUAUUAUGGGGUCUAUCAACUACACUCAUGGCAGGCCAACACGAUGAGCUUCUUGUUUGGAUAUCCUUGUUCUCUUAUCUCUUGAGUUUUUGAGAACCAAGACUCAUGGUGUAGAAGAAAAGAGACGUGGCUAUAAAGGAGGCUAAAUAAAAGUCCUACCGUCAGGAAACUGAAUCAAACACGGCAGCGUAAACUUCAGAGUUCAAAAUAUGAGUCCUGGCUUCUGCCCCUGCCACCAUGCCAUUACUCUACCAUCAUGGACUCUAACCUGUUGAACCUAUAAGCCUAAAUAAACUUUUUUAAAGUUGC